AAGAGCCUGAUAAGGACUUGUUUGUAAUAUGCACCGCCACAAACUGCACCCCGCCAGCAUGACUCAAAGCAACAGGUCAUGAACAGGCUGAAACAUCAAGGGCUCAAAAAUUAAGCUAACACUAAAGUGAAAAAAAAAAUGCAGUUCCUUGAGUGUCCACUUGAGGCUGUGUCCAAGAGUGAGUCAAUCCCUAUAGAGCCCCAUUUUACAUCAGAAAUUAAUUCUUUAAAGCAGGGUACAAAAACAGUUUUGGUCUCUAUCGCUAAUUUCUCUAUUUAUGACAAUUGUACAGGUUGAAUUUUUAUAGGAUUCUGCUGUUUAAAUUGUAUUAAGUGACAUUUUUUAACAUUAUUAUUAUAUAAUUGAGUAAUGACUUUCUAAAAACAGACUGAAGUCUAACUUCCUCUGGGUUUGUUGUUCUCAGCGCUGUGUUCACACUGACGAGAUGUUGCUUCCUUCAGCUUGUUCAUGUUUCUCUCAGAGAAUCUAAAAUGUUUCAUUCAUACAUUUGUUUUUUUUCCCCUAAGCUCCUCCCUUUCCCACCGUUUGCUUUACCACCAUGCGGGGAAAGAGAAACCAUGUGGAGUCUCAAAGGUGUAGUUUCGUUGCAAUUAGAGUACAACUUUAAGAGGACCAACAGACUUUCAAAAACUGAAGAAAAUACUCUUAUCUUUGGUAUAAAAUACUUCUAUGGGCUGCAUAUCUAAAUGGAGAUAAGUCGCAGAAAUGGCUGCACUCGGUCGGAACAACAAUGGAGAGUGGGGAGGAUGUAAACUGAAGGAGAUGAUAUAUACACACUGUUUUCAGUGGAGCUGUUGCAGAUGAGCUAAGCCUCUGUGUUGCUGGGUAAAUGGAGAUGCACACUAACAUAUAGAGUGAUGUAAAGAUGUUGGUCCCCUUGCCAGCUCCAGUUCAGGACGGCUCUGUCAAUUGAACCAACUUUGACCCCGCCCCACCAACACCAGGUUCUAGUUGGUGGACAAAGUGUGUGUUCAGGGUUACUGUGUCAGGAGGAGGACACUACUACACUGAGAUUUAUGGACCAUCUGCCUCGUGACCCUGUUUGUUUACAGCGAGACCGUGCCAGAGUUGAUCGCUGUCUGCGUGGAGCACUAAAUAUAUCAUUAGCGAUGACAUGAAGUCAUGGUCAGCUGAGGUGUGACCUGCAGGUGAGCAGAUCCAGCACAGUUUCCUCGUCAAUUCUGACAGGACAAUAUCUGACCUAUCAGAGGGUAAAAGGCAAUAACCAGGUAACUGCCGUGGCAGGAAACCACAAUCCUGACUCCUAUGCAGAGGCAGUUGCAAAUAAAAUAUAUAUUUUUUAAAACGCUAGAAUUUGAAUUUGAGUGUAAAGCUUGAGUUCAGACUUGGACUGUCAAUAAACUGCAUAGCAAAACAGAUUAUUUGUCUGAUAUUUGCAUGAAGCUCUAGCGUAAGUUCAGUCAGGAAAACUUUAAUUGCCUUCUUUCUCAUUCUUCCCUUUUUGCACGCUAACUCAUGUUUUAACUCAUCCCCUUUUAAAUAUGAUUCUUUCUCUCCUUUAGUUUCUUCAUGCUGUUUUUUUGUGCGCCCCUCCUCCUCCCCAUUACCGCCAGUCUUCACAGAUUCAUCAUCCAUCAAUUCUUCACCCAUCCGGUCUAAUCAUUUAUCAGCUUUACCACCACCAGGGUCUGGACUCCAUGGGGGGGGAUUUAUUCUGUCCACGCUCAGAAACAUUCUCCAAACACAUCAACCUCCCCAUAGAGCCCGAGCGCCAAAGUAUUUCUGUCAAGUCACUUUUCCAUGUUAUUCACUGUAAUAAAUCAUUUUCUUAAUUCA
This is a non-coding RNA of Labrus bergylta (ballan wrasse), 1818 nucleotides long. The record is from RefSeq and is a predicted model, not a curated record. Lineage: Eukaryota; Metazoa; Chordata; Actinopteri; Labriformes; Labridae.